This 460-nucleotide ribosomal RNA is filed under the name uncultured bacterium. RNAcentral's name for it is "partial 16S ribosomal RNA". It matches the Rfam family "Bacterial small subunit ribosomal RNA", at positions 338 to 795 of the family's 1533-position model. The record is from RNAcentral.
CCUACGGGUGGCUGCAGUGAGGAAUAUUGGUCAAUGGGCGGAAGCCUGAACCAGCCAAGUAGCGUGCAGGAUGACGGCCCUACGGGUUGUAAACUGCUUUUAUACGGGAAUAAAGCGACUUACGUGUAGGUCUUUGCAUGUACCGUAUGAAUAAGGACCGGCUAACUCCGUGCCAGCAGCCGCGGUAAUACGGAGGGUCCGGGCGUUAUCCGGAUUUAUUGGGUUUAAAGGGAGCGUAGGUCGGUUGUUAAGUGAGCUGUGAAAUGUUGCGGCUCAACCUUAAAAUUGCAGUGGGUACUGGCGUUCUUGAGGACGGUUAAGGCAGGCGGAAUUCGUGGGGUAGCGGUGAAAUGCUUAGAUAUCACGAAGAACCCCGAUUGCGAAGGCAGCUUACUAAAGCGCAACUGACGUUGAUGCGCGAAAGCGUGGGUAUCAAACAGGAUUAGAUACCCCAGUAGUC